ACGGAGGAAGGUGGGGACGACGUCAAGUCAUCAUGGCCCUUACGAGUAGGGCUACACACGUGCUACAAUGGCAGAUACAGAGGGCAGCGAGACAGCGAUGUUUAGCGAAUCCCUUAAAGUUUGUCGUAGUCCGGAUUGGAGUCUGCAACUCGACUCCAUGAAGUCGGAAUCGCUAGUAAUCGUGGAUCAGAAUGCCACGGUGAAUAGUUCCCGGGCCUUGUACACACCGCCCGUCACACCAUGGGAGUGGGCUGCACCAGAAGUAGAUAGCUUAACCUUCGGGAGGGCGUUUACCACGGUGUGGUUCAUGAC
Molecule: ribosomal RNA, 312 nt
Filed under: uncultured bacterium
Lineage: Bacteria
Description: bacterial SSU rRNA
Rfam family: Bacterial small subunit ribosomal RNA
Source: RNAcentral